RNAcentral lists this long non-coding RNA (293 nucleotides) under Salvia miltiorrhiza (redroot sage). RNAcentral's name for it is "long non-coding RNA (SMIL_LNC009947)". The record is from RNAcentral. Lineage: Eukaryota; Viridiplantae; Streptophyta; Magnoliopsida; Lamiales; Lamiaceae.
GUUUAAUUGUUAGAAAGUUAUUUGUAUUUGUUUAAUGAAAUUUCAAUAUGUACAAAUAUACGGUAUAUCUUAAUGAUUUGGCAAUUUAGGCAUGAAACGAUAUAACAAUAAUUUCGGUAAUACAGUAAGGUAUGGUAUACCGACUUUCGGUAUGGUAUACCGCACUAUCGGUACGACAACGGUAUGAAAAUUCUCAUACCAAAAUUUUCGGUAUGCCGAUCUUCGGUAUACCGAAAAGUACGGUACGGCAACGGUAUGAAAAUUCUCAUACCGUAAUUUACGGUAUGGUAUAC